This 1333-nucleotide ribosomal RNA is filed under the name uncultured bacterium. Its description in RNAcentral is "bacterial SSU rRNA". It matches the Rfam family "Bacterial small subunit ribosomal RNA", at positions 28 to 1381 of the family's 1533-position model. The record is from RNAcentral.
AACGAACGCUUGCUGCAUGCUUUAUACAUGCAAGUCGAACGGAGGCCCUAGCUUGCUAGGUGUCCUUAGUGGCGCACGGGUGAGUAACACGUGGGAACAUACCUCAUAGUACGGAAUAACUGCGGGAAACUGUAGCUAAUACCGUAUAUUCCAGCAAUGGGAAAGAUUUAUCGCUAUGAGAUUGGCCCGCGCAAGAUUAGUUUGUUGGUAAGGUAAUGGCUUACCAAGGCUACGAUCUUUAGCUGGUUUGAGAGGAUGAUCAGCCACACUGGGACUGAGACACGGCCCAGACUCCUACGGGAGGCAGCAGUAGGGAAUAUUGGACAAUGGGGGCAACCCUGAUCCAGCAAUGCAGCGUGAGUGACGAAGGCCUUAGGGUUGUAAAACUCUUUCAUCGGUGAGGAUAAUGACAGUAGCCGAAGAAGAAGGACCGGCUAAUUCCGUGCCAGCAGCCGCGGUAAUACGGAAGGUCCUAGCGUUGUUCGGAAUUACUGGGCGUAAAGCGCAUGUAGGCGGAACAGAAAGUUAGAAGUGAAAUCCCUGGGCUCAACCUAGGAAUUGCUUUUAAAACUUCUGUUCUGGAAUUCAGGAGAGGAAAAUGGAAUAUCCAGUGUAGAGGUGAAAUUCGUAGAUAUUGGAUGGAACACCAGUGGCGAAGGCGAUUUUCUGGACUGAUAUUGACGCUGAGAUGCGAAGGCAUGGGUAGCAAACGGGAUUAGAUACCCCGGUAGUCCAUGCAGUAAACGAUGGGUGCUAGUCGUCGGACUUAUGUUCGGUGUCGUAGCUAACGCGUUAAGCACCCCGCCUGGGGGAGUACGGUCGCAAGAUUAAAAUUCAAAAUAAAUUGACGGGGGACCCGCACAAGCAGUGGAGCAUGUGGUUUAAUUCGACGCAACGCGAAGAACCUUACCAGCGUUUGACAUGGAAAGUACCGGUUACAGAAAUGGUAACCUUCAGUUUCGGCUGGCUUCCACACAGGUGCUGCAUGGCUGUCGUCAGCUCGUGUUCGUGAGAUGUUGGGUUAAGUUCCCGCAACGAGCGCAACCCUUAUCGUUAGUUACUAAACAGUUUCGGCUGAGGACUCUAGCGAAAACUGCCGGUGAUAAGCCGGAGGAAAGGUGGGGAUGACGUCGAAGUUCCUCAUGGCCCUUACACGCUGGGCUACACACGUGCUACAAUGGUAACUGACGAACGGGACGCGAUACCGCGAGGUGGAGGCAAAUCCCCAAAAGUUUAUCUCAGUUCGGAUUGCACUCUGCAACUCGAGUGCAUGAAGUUGGAAUUGCUAGUAAUCGCGGAUCAGCAUGCCGCGGUGAAUACGUUUCCCGGGUCU